CAGUUGUACAUAAAACAAAAAUAAAUGCAACGUCAAAUAAGAAAAAGUAUAAGCUCAGAGGCUCCCUGUAUUUUUAAACAGCAUUUUAACGAAAACUCAAUACAGCAUUGUUUCAAAUUGUGGGGACAACUUGACACAAUUGGAAAUCUUCCAACACACCUUGCCACGGUGGAUUCGAGAAUGGUUUAAAUUUACAAAUCAGCCCGGCAGAUGACGCUGCAGUCGAUACUUGAAGCAGUUUUAAUUAAAAAUCUUAAAAAGACCGAGAGACAUUAAUACUGGUACCGGUACUGGGAACCAGUCGGAUUUUUUUAAUCAUAAAAUAUAGCGUCUCGCAAGGACGCACUGAUUUGUUUGAGCGAAGGGUCGGUUUCUGUCGCGAAACAAUUAUGCUACUGUGACUCUGACUUAAAGGUGCCGUGAAUAUUCUGCCGUGAAGCAGUAAUGCGUUUCGGUUUGAAGGGUGGGGCAGCCGCUACGCGCUAAAGAUUUUGUUUUUGCCUGGAUGGAUCGACGAGUUCACGGAACUCAUUGCAAAUGAGUUCCGAACUUCAUUGCAAAAAUAGGCAAAGUGGUGCUAUCUAUCUGUUGGAGAUCACAAAACGCCCUACCACCGGUCGCUCCGUAAUAGCUCUUAAAAAUAUUGUUUUAAAAAUACCGACUUACAAGAGAUGGCUUGGAACAAAAUCUCGAUGCAUGACAAACAUCUUGGAAAGACGUUAUAUGCACUUAUUCAAUAAAUACAUGGAAAAAGUUAAUGCUAAGCAUUGGGCGUACUAUCUAACCUAAUCGUCUUCCCAAAACUUGAAACCAAUUAAUAAAUUACAUUUACCAACCA
This is a long non-coding RNA of Bombyx mori (domestic silkworm), 838 nucleotides long. RefSeq lists it as uncharacterized. The record is from RefSeq and is a predicted model, not a curated record. The transcript has 5 exons. NCBI's taxonomy places the organism in Eukaryota, Metazoa, Arthropoda, Insecta, Lepidoptera, Bombycidae.